CAAAAACAUGUCCUUUUGUUUUUUAUUUAAGGUCUGACCUGCCCAAUGAGGAAUUCAAUGGCCGCAGUAUUUUAACUGUGCUAAGGUAGCAUAAUCAUUUGUCUUUUAAUUGAGGGCUGGAAUGAAAGGUUGGACGAGACAUUAACUUUCUUUGGCUUAAUCUUAGGAAUUUAAUUUUUUAGUUAAAAAGCUUAAAUUUAUUUGUUGGACGAGAAGACCCUAUAGAUCUUUAUGAUUUUAUAUUUUGGCAAUUUGGGGAUUAGGCUUGUUUAGGAGUAAAAAAAUCAUUUUGUUGGGGUGACUGUAGAAUUAAAAUAACUUCUAUUUUUAUAUUUCAUUUAUUAAUGUUUUUUUGAUCCAUAUAAUUAUGAUUAUAAGAUUAAGUUACCUUAGGGAUAACAGCGUAAUUUCCUCGGAGAGUUCAUAUUGAUGAGGGAGUUUGCGACCUCGAUGUUGGAUUAAAGUAAGUUAUGGAUGCAGAAGUCUAUAUACUAGGUCUGUUCGACCUUUAAAUUUUUACAUGAUCUGAGUUCAAAC
RNAcentral lists this ribosomal RNA (537 nucleotides) under Triatoma bruneri. RNAcentral describes it as "partial 16S ribosomal RNA". It matches the Rfam family "Bacterial large subunit ribosomal RNA", at positions 1808 to 2616 of the family's 2925-position model. The record is from RNAcentral. Lineage: Eukaryota; Metazoa; Arthropoda; Insecta; Hemiptera; Reduviidae.